This 29-nucleotide non-coding RNA is filed under the name Rattus norvegicus (Norway rat). Lineage: Eukaryota; Metazoa; Chordata; Mammalia; Rodentia; Muridae. The record is from RNAcentral.
UAACUGAACUAUGAUGGAUGGCCAGUGAU